Molecule: ribosomal RNA, 429 nt
Filed under: Bacteroidota bacterium
Lineage: Bacteria; Pseudomonadati; Bacteroidota
Description: Bacteroidetes bacterium partial 16S ribosomal RNA
Rfam family: Bacterial small subunit ribosomal RNA
Source: RNAcentral
UAGGGAAUCUUCGGCAAUGGGGGGAACCCUGACCGAGCAACGCCGCGUGAGUGAAGAAGGAUUUCGGUUCGUAAAACUCUGUUGUUAGAGAAGAACAGCGCAUAGAGUAACUGUUAUGCGUGUGACGGUAUCUAACCAGAAAGCCACGGCUAACUACGUGCCAGCAGCCGCGGUAAUACGUAGGUGGCAAGCGUUGUCCGGAUUUAUUGGGCGUAAAGCGAGCGCAGGCGGUCAAUUAAGUCUGAUGUGAAAGCCCCCGGCUCAACCGGGGAGGGUCAUUGGAAACUGGUUGACUUGAGUGCAGAAGAGGGGAGUGGAAUUCCAUGUGUAGCGGUGAAAUGCGUAGAUAUAUGGAGGAACACCAGUGGCGAAGGCGACUCUCUGGUCUGUAACUGACGCUGAGGUUCGAAAGCGUGGGUAGCAAACAGG